This 428-nucleotide ribosomal RNA is filed under the name Staphylococcus aureus. RNAcentral describes it as "bacterial SSU rRNA". It matches the Rfam family "Bacterial small subunit ribosomal RNA", at positions 899 to 1326 of the family's 1533-position model. Lineage: Bacteria; Bacillati; Bacillota; Bacilli; Caryophanales; Staphylococcaceae. The record is from RNAcentral.
UUUCAAAUGAAUUGACGGGGGCCCGCACAAGCGGUGGAGCAUGUGGUUUAAUUGGAAGCAACGCGAAGAACCUUACCAAAUCUUGACAUCCUUUGACAACUCUAGAGAUAGAGCCUUCCCCUUCGGGGGACAAAGUGACAGGUGGUGCAUGGUUGUCGUCAGCUCGUGUCGUGAGAUGUUGGGUUAAGUCCCGCAACGAGCGCAACCCUUAAGCUUAGUUGCCAUCAUUAAGUUGGGCACUUUAAGUUGACUGCCGGUGACAAACCGGAGGAAGGUGGGGAUGACGUCAAAUCAUCAUGCCCCUUAUGAUUUGGGCUACACACGUGCUACAAUGGACAAUACAAAGGGCAGCGAAACCGCGAGGUCAAGCAAAUCCCAUAAAGUUGUUCUCAGUUCGGAUUGUAGUCUGCAACUCGACUACAUGAAGC